AAGGCCUUAGCUUAAUUAAAGCGUCUGGUUUGCAUCCAUAUUAUGUGGGAUAAAGUCCUGCAGGCCUUA
This 69-nucleotide transfer RNA is filed under the name Ophisurus macrorhynchos. Its description in RNAcentral is "tRNA-Ala". It matches the Rfam family "tRNA". From Rfam's summary of the family: Transfer RNA (tRNA) molecules are approximately 80 nucleotides in length. Their secondary structure includes four short double-helical elements and three loops (D, anti-codon, and T loops). Lineage: Eukaryota; Metazoa; Chordata; Actinopteri; Anguilliformes; Ophichthidae. The record is from RNAcentral.